Molecule: small RNA, 955 nt
Filed under: uncultured bacterium
Lineage: Bacteria
Description: bacterial SSU rRNA
Rfam family: Bacterial small subunit ribosomal RNA (bases 1-417)
Source: RNAcentral
UUUGCCAGCACUUCGGGUGGGAACUCUAAGGAGACUGCCGGUGACAAACCGGAGGAAGGAGAGGAUGAUGUCAAGUCAUCAUGGCCCUUACGGCCUGGGCUACACACGUGCUACAAUGGGGAGUACAGAGGGCCGCGAAGCCGCAAGUUGGAGCAAAUCCCAGAAAACUUCUCGUAGUCCGGAUUGGAGUCUGCAACUCGACUCCAUGAAGUCGGAAUCGCUAGUAAUCGCGAAUCAGCAUGUCGCGGUGAAUACGUUCCCGGGCCUUGUACACACCGCCCGUCACAUCAUGGGAGUGGGUUGCACCAGAAGUGGCUAGUCUAACUUCGGAGGACGGUCACCACGGUGUGAUUCAUGACUGGGAUGAAGUCGUAACAAGGUAGCCGUAGGGGAACCUGCGGCUGGAUCACCUCCUUAACCUUUUGUAUACAUCUCGAGUAUCCACAACCUAUUGUUUGAUUCUUCUUGUUUAUAUCUUGACCUUUUCUUACUUGGCAGAGGUGUGCGAAAGCUGCGAAAACCGGAGAAGAAAAAGGCCAGACAUAACCAUAGAAACGCUAGAAGGUCCUAGCGUAGGUUCUUUAAAAAUGCGUAUAAGUGAUAAAGUCUGUAGACGAAUAUGAAAAAAUUUACAUAUUCUGAAACAAAAAUGACAUCCGCAAAUGAGAGAUGAGUUUUUAAAUAAUUCUUAGAGCUCAAACGCUAAGAUUUAUUCUUUCCAAAAAACUAAUCACCACAUUUGUAUUUCAAGCGUAAUUAUCCGGUAGAGACAUGACUUUGAAUGAGAGCUUGCUUAAAUAAAGGGAAAAGCUCUCGCUUUCAGGGGAAUAACAAACUGCUAUUCUCCACGAGAGCAAGUUCAAGUUAUAUGAUCAAGCGAAUAAGCGUAUACGGUGGAUGCCUAGGCAGUUAGAGGCGACGAAGGACGUUGUGGUCUGCGAUAAGCUCGGGGGAG